AACGAACGCUGGCGGCAGGCCUAACACAUGCAAGUCGAGCGAGGACUUCGGUCCUAGCGGCGGACGGGUGAGUAACGCGUGGGAACGUGCCCUUUGCUUCGGAAUAGCCCUGGGAAACUGGGAGUAAUACCGGAUGAGCCCUUUGGGGGAAAGAUUUAUCGGCGAAGGAUCGGCCCGCGUUGGAUUAGGUAGUUGGUGGGGUAAUGGCCUACCAAGCCGACGAUCCAUAGCUGGUUUGAGAGGAUGAUCAGCCACACUGGGACUGAGACACGGCCCAGACUCCUACGGGAGGCAGCAGCGGGGAAUCUUAGACAAUGGGGGAAACCCUGAUCUAGCCAUGCCGCGUGAGCGAUGAAGGCCUUAGGGUUGUAAAGCUCUUUCAGCUGGGAAGAUAAUGACGGUACCAGCAGAAGAAGCCCCGGCUAACUCCGUG
This 433-nucleotide ribosomal RNA is filed under the name uncultured bacterium. RNAcentral describes it as "partial 16S ribosomal RNA". It matches the Rfam family "Bacterial small subunit ribosomal RNA", at positions 29 to 507 of the family's 1533-position model. The record is from RNAcentral.